GGCAGAGGGAGAGAGAGAAUCCCAUGUAGGCUCCAUGCUCAGCAGCUCACAUCUGAAAAAACAGGUAAUAGAGCAGGUAAGACAUUCAGUAGGGCUUGAUCCCAUGAACCGUGAGAUCAUGACCUGAGCCAAAAUCAAGAGUUGGAUGCUGAGUGCCCAGGUGGCUAAGUUGGUUGAGCAUCCGAGUUUGGCUCAGGUCGUGAUCUCAUGGUUUGUGGGUUUGGGCCCCACAUCAGGCUCUUUGCUGACAGGUCAGAGCCUGGGGCCUGCUUCAGAUUCUGUGUGUGUGUGUCUCUCUCUGCUCCUCCCGCCGCUCACACUCUGUCUGUCUCUGUCUCAAAGAUAAACAUUAAAAAAAAAUUUUUUUUUAAAGUUGGAUACUCAACCAGCUGAGCCACCAGGGCACCCCAAAAUUGUAUUUUAUAACUAACUAAAUAUACCUGUAUGAGCAACAAUUUGGAUAAUUAUAUAAUAUUCGUAAUUAAAUAUUUUAAUUUUUUGCUUGCUAAUAAAUUGAACAUUUUCAUUUGUGUUAUUUAAACCACUUUUCUUGCCAGUUACAAACUGACGAAAAGGGACGCCUGGUUGGCUCAGUUGAUUAAGCAUCUGACUCUUGAUUUCAGCUCAGAUCAUGAUCUCACAGUUGGUGAGAUUGACCCUGGUGUGGAGCCUACAUAGGAUUCUCUCUCUCCUCUCUUUCUGCCCCCCCCUCACUCUUGCUGUCUCUUUCUCUCAAAAUAAAUAAGCAUUUAAAAAAAUAAAAAACAAUUUGGGGUGGCUGGGUGGCUCAGUUGGUUAAGUAUCCAGCUCUUGAUUUCAGCUUGGGUCGAGAUCUCACAGUCAUGGGAUCAAGCCCCACAUAGGGCUCUGCACUGAGCAUGAGCCUGCUUUGGAUUCCCUUCUUGUCUCUCUGCCUCUCUCCCCCAAUAGCAUGCUUGCACUCUCUCUCUCUCUCCCUCAAAAUAAAUAUACAAACAUUAAAAAAAAGAAAAAAACAAAUUGAAGCAAAGGGUGGAUGAUUAAAAGACCAAGACAAUCACUGCUGAAGAUAGUAAUGACACAUUAACAGAGUUGCAGCCUAUAUUUUGUACCAAGCAAACUGAUAUCCAAUGUAAUUUAUUAUGUUCUAUAUCCUAUGAGAUGCUAUUUUAGACAUUGGAGAUACAGUACUGUUAGCAGACAUUUUUAUUUCAGACCAUUCAUUCAUUUAUAAUUUAACAUAUUUUCUAGGUGCUUUCUGUGUUCCAUUUACUGGAGGCACAAUAGAGAACAAGAUCCACAUGGCCUCUGUUCUCUUGAAGGAGAAUAAAAAUAUAAAAGUAACUUUAUUCAUUAUUUAUUACUUGCCACACAUCGUGCUAAUAUUAUUCCAUAUAUUAUUUCCUUUAAUAUUAAAAUGAUAUUUGGAAACUGCAUUUUGGAGACAUACAUGUGUGUGGUCAGUUUUGUUCGUAUCACCUGAAAUACUAACAUGCUUUAUAAAAGGCCUUUUAGUAUCAAAAAUGUGGUGCAUUUGUGAGCAGCGUAGAAUGAACACACACAUGCGACAAAGUCUCAUUUCACUUAAAUAUUGUUGUGAGACCUUCAGUCCCUAAAAUGUUUGUAGUGACAAGUUUAAAAGGGUAAGGAUGAUAAAUAAUCUGAUUCCCACUUAGGGCUAAAAUGUAUUUGUCCUCCCUCUUUAAAUUAGAGCCAGGAAUCAUCUGUGUUAGGCUAUAAAUGCCUUUUCAGCGUGUCUUUGUGCUUUCUACAUAGAGAGUAUAGCACUGGUGCACAAAACACAGGGGGCUCUUGCCAUUGGAGACUGUCUAAUCCACAGAUACGAAGAAGCUCCCUGGAACUUUACUGCUUGUUUACAGAAAGUCACCCACCAUUGUUAUAGAUGCCUAGAAGGCGAGGAGUUUUCUCUAAGAGAUCAAAAUCUAACAGAAGCUGGAAUGUUUGCACCAAAUAGGCAGCUUUUAAAAUCUGAGUAAACCUCCACAACUCGUUAAAGAAAACUAAGUUAUAAUUGUAGGUAACAUUAAACUUUGGAAUAAGAAAGUAGAAAGUUAAUAUUUUCUUUUAUAAUUUUGAAUCCAUUACUCAGGUAUUUGAGGCACAAUGUGUUACAACUACAGUCUUACUAAAAUGCGGGGGGAUAUGUUUAGUUGUAACUUUUUUAGAAGACGAAUUAUUGUCACUGCUGCUGAGAAAUGGAUUCUGUCUUUCUUGAUCUUCCUUGCUUUCUUCCUGAAUGUCCUCAGUUAAUGUUUUUUUUCUGUGAUUCAAAUAGUGCUGAGCACAGCAGAGGUUGUUGCUGGAAUUGAAUUAAGAAUGGACAUGUGAGUGUUUAUAAUAAGAAAGCCAAAUUCUUUUUUCAUAGACUCUGUACUUGAAAGCUUUGAUGUCCUGAAUAACUACAUACCCCCAAAAGUACAAUUUGGCUACUAUAUUAAAAUUUGAAAAUAUCCUGCUUUACAUGUUUAGUUCAAAGGCCACUUUCAUUACAUACAUAUAAAGACCAAACUUCUGUGACUCUUAUCCUUAUUAUAUUUUUAGAAAGUAUUUAUAAUCUUGGGGCACCUGGGUGGCUCAGUUGGGUAAAUGUCCAACUUCAGCUCAGGUUGUGAUCUCAUGGUUCAUGAAUUCAAGCCCCGCAUCGGGCUCUGUGCUGACAGCUUGGAGCCUGGAGCUUCUCUCUGUGUCUUCCUCUCUCUCUGGCACUCCCCCGCUUCACCCUGUCUCUCUCUCUCUCCUUCAAAAAUAAGUAAACAUUUAAAAAAAAUUUUUUUUAAAGAAAGUACUUGUGGGGCGCCUGGAUGGCUCAGUCAGUUAAGCGACCGACUUCGGCUCAGGUCAUGAUCUCACGGUAUGUGAGUUCAAGCCCCAUAUCGGGCUCUGUGCUGACAGCUCAGAGCCUGGAGCCUGCUUCGGAUUCUGUGUGUGUGUCUCUCUCUGCCCCUCCCCUGCUCUCUCUCUCUCUCUCUUUUUCUCUCUCUCUCAAGUAAAUAAACAUUAAAAAAGAAAAAAAGAAAAAAAGAAAAAAAUGUAGCUGUCACGUUUGAGUAUACCAUACACCUAAGAUUGUUUCAGUCAGAGGCUGUCAUGGGGCUGUAAUGAUCAGACCAUGUUCACUACAACCAUCAGUUGUAGUUAGGAGGAGACCAAAGGAAACAUCUAAACCAUCAUACUAUUUCCUUUCCAUUAAUGGUCCCAUAUAUCCAAAAAAAAUGUAUAUCAACUCUUCCCCAAAAUUUCAAUGUAAGGAACUUUCAUAUUGCUUGCAUUAGGGAUAUUGCCUCCUGAACUAAAAUUAAAGCUUUAUAUUCUCCAUGCUAACUAUUUUCUGGCAUUUCAGUACUUUCAUGUCAAAAGUACACAUAAAAGAUGCCACUGAAAUAACAGCCAAAAGAUCAAUAUGGGAAAAUUCUAGAUUUAAUUUGGAAUGCCAAAAAUUCUUAGGUUUGCAGCAGUCAUAUUUGCUAUCUGAUACCUACAAUUUCCUUGUUUAUAUACCUAGAGAGCUGAACGUCUAUUAUAGUUUCUUCCAGAAGUCUUUCGGUUUCCUCCAUCAGGCCUUUUGGCCCUCUAGCUCUCCUUGCCUCCAGCUUAAAAACUUUUGUUUAUAGUUUUUAUAUAAGUAUAAAACAACAACAAAAAAUACCAUUUAAAUGCAACCAAGUCUAUAAAUCAGUCAAAUUCAAAUUGAUGAAAUAAUUAAAUAUGAUAGCUGAUAAAGAUUAGUGGAACAUAAAUUGCUACUUGAGAUAUGAAUUAUGAUGCUGUCUCUAAGCUGUUUUGAAAAUCCGUGCCUGUUCUUCCGUAUGCCUAUAAUGACUCUUCCUCAUCACCCCUUUUGUUUUGUUAGUAAAGUGUUCACAGAUGUCAUUUUAUCUCCACAUCUUGCAAAUAUGUCAUUUACAUUUUAAGUUCAAGGUCAUUUCAAGUACAAGAGCUCUUUUCAUUAACCUAGGACCAUUGGAUUAAAACAACUUGACACAUUGAUCAUAAACAUAAGCGUGGGCACAGAGAUCCCACGGCAAUUCCCCAGUAAAAGGUUGAUCUUCCAUAUUGUCCUGGAUUAAAUUAUAUCAUCUAAAAAUUAUUUAGAUGAAAACAAAAAAAUUUAAAUUGCUACAAUGAAUUUAUGAACUGCAAAGAUUAUGUGAUUAUAUCCUUAGCUUCCACUUUAAGAAAAACUACUCUGAUUAGUUUUAUCUAUGCUCUGUAUAUGUGAGGAACAAAAGAGAUUUGGGGCUACUGAAAUUGGAACACAGGCAAGAGAUUUCUGAAAGCACUAUACUCAAGCCAGUAGAUUUUGGCUUGAAUGUUUUGACAUAUACCUGCCUUAAGAUCAUCUGGGCAUGUCACUCACCUUUAUCACAUUUUACUUGAGUGCUGAUUCUGAUGGAUUUGUUAGAAAUGAAGAUUAUGGUUAGCAGUAGAGUGAGAUGGAAAAUAAUGGAUGGCUGACAGACUAAAAUCAGUUUGUAUAUAUUAAAAAAUGGUCAAAACCAUGCUUAUUAAAACUUCUCAAUCAAGUAUUUGUGGAGUCUCUGAAGCUUCUUGGAAAAUUCUGGAUUCCCUGGAGCACUGAGGUAAAAACAUAGUCACUAAAUAAAUAGCAACAGCAAUAAUAAAUCUUGGGGAGAGAAAGAGGAAUCUGAUUUCCUGAAGUACCACAUUACAUUAUUUAAAAACAUUUUUUUAAUGUUUAUUUUUGAGAAAGAGGGAGACAGAACACAAGCAGGGGAGAGGCAGAGAGAGAGAGAGAGAGAGAGAGAGAGAGAGAGAGAAUCUGAAGUGGGCUCCAGGCUGUGAGCUGUCAGCACAGAGCCCAACGCAGAGUUCAAACUCACAAGCCAUGAGCCAAAGUCAGACGCUCAACCAGCUGAGCUACUCAGGCGCCCCCACAUUACAUUAUUUUAAAUGGAAAGUUCUUAAAAGAUUAUGACAUAUGCAAAGAAACAGGAGUGUAUAGCCCUUCCAGAGGACUAAAAGGAGUCAAUAGAAAUUGACCCUAAAGAAGCACAUACAUUGGACUUACUAGACAAAGAUUUUAAAUCACCUAUUUUUAACAAAGAGCUAAAGGAAACCAUAAAGCCAAAGAACUAAAGUAUGAGAAUAAUGUCCCACCAAAGAGAGAAUAUCAACAAAGAGAAAUUAUAAAAAAGAGCCAAAUAGAAA
Panthera uncia (snow leopard) is the source of this 5169-nucleotide long non-coding RNA. RefSeq lists it as uncharacterized. The transcript has 2 exons. The record is from RefSeq and is a predicted model, not a curated record. NCBI's taxonomy places the organism in Eukaryota, Metazoa, Chordata, Mammalia, Carnivora, Felidae.